GAUUCAUACUUUCAAGUUCUUUAUCUAGCUGUUGCAAAGAGACACCUCCAUCAAGUAUCUUCUUUUUCCAUUAGCCCAGAAAUGAGCAUCCUCUUAGACCUAUAUGCUAUUGUAAAUGAGAUGUAUAUAUUCCUUCCUGAGCUUUUAAGAUAAACAGUGAGAACUUAACAGGCCUACUAAUCAAAGCUUACAGAAGGAAAAUACCUUGUAAUUCAGACUUAGAAACACCCUGCGUGGCAAAAAAAGGAAUGGACUAUCACACAGUAAGACUUGUAGAAAAUUAACCAAAGUACAUAUGAGUUAAUCAAACAGUAACUUAAAAAAUUUAAGUGCAAAGAAGGAAAAUUUCAACUGAAAAAAAAAUCAGAAACUGAAAUAUUCUGAAAAGCACACCUUUAAUUGGCACAUAUGUGAAAC
Long non-coding RNA from Oxyura jamaicensis (ruddy duck), 417 nucleotides. RefSeq lists it as uncharacterized. Lineage: Eukaryota; Metazoa; Chordata; Aves; Anseriformes; Anatidae. The record is from RefSeq and is a predicted model, not a curated record. The transcript has 2 exons.